CCUACGGGAGGCAGCAGUGGGGAAUAUUGCACAAUGGGGGAAACCCUGAUGCAGCAACGCCGCGUGGAUGAAGAAGUAUUUCGGUUUGUAAACCUCUUUUAUCAGGGAAGAAAAUGACGGUAUCUGACUAAUAAGCACCGGCUAACUACGUGCCAGCAGCCGCGGUAAUACGGAGGGUGCAAGCGUUAUCCGGAUUUACUGGGUGUAAAGGGAGCGUAGACGGGAGGACAAGUCAGGUGUGAAAUCCUGUGGCUUAACCACAGAACUGCAUUUGAAACUGUUAUUCUAGAGUAUAGGAGAGGUAAGUGGAAUUCCUGGUGUAGCGGUGAAAUGCGUAGAGAUUAGGAGGAACACUAGUGGCGAAGGCGGAUUACUGGAACGUAACUGACGGUGAGGCGCGAAAGCGUGGGGAGCAAACAGGAUUAGAUACCCUUGUAGUC
RNAcentral lists this ribosomal RNA (440 nucleotides) under uncultured bacterium. RNAcentral's name for it is "partial 16S ribosomal RNA". It matches the Rfam family "Bacterial small subunit ribosomal RNA", at positions 338 to 795 of the family's 1533-position model. The record is from RNAcentral.